CAGAGAAUAGUUUAAUAAAAAUUUUAAUUUUGGAGAUUAAUAAUGGAAGAAUUUUCCUUCUCUGA
RNAcentral lists this transfer RNA (65 nucleotides) under Limonius minutus. Its description in RNAcentral is "tRNA-Pro". The record is from RNAcentral. Lineage: Eukaryota; Metazoa; Arthropoda; Insecta; Coleoptera; Elateridae.